RNAcentral lists this ribosomal RNA (158 nucleotides) under Planomonas micra. RNAcentral's name for it is "partial 18S ribosomal RNA". It matches the Rfam family "Eukaryotic small subunit ribosomal RNA". The record is from RNAcentral. Lineage: Eukaryota; Ancyromonadida; Planomonadidae.
GCUSCUACCGAUUGRAUGDYCCGGUGAAAUUUCGGGACCGCAGCAACGCAGCUGGUUCGCCAGCAGUGAUGCCGCGGGAACUUACUUAAACCUUAUCAUUUAGAGGAAGGAGAAGUCGUAACAAGGUUUCCGUAGGUGAACCUGCGGAAGGAUCAGUA